AACGUGCUCCGGGGUCGGUGAAAUUCCGAGCCGGCGGUUAUAGUCCGCGACCCACCGGUAUCUACUGGUGGCUGAGCUGGUGAAAUUCCAGCACCGACGGUUAAAGUCCGGAUGGGAGGAGGCACGCG
This is a regulatory RNA element of Actinomyces graevenitzii C83, 128 nucleotides long. It matches the Rfam family "FMN riboswitch aptamer (RFN element)". From Rfam's summary of the family: The RFN element is a highly conserved domain that is found frequently in the 5'-untranslated regions of prokaryotic mRNAs that encode for flavin mononucleotide (FMN) biosynthesis and transport proteins. This element is a metabolite-dependent riboswitch that directly binds FMN in the absence of proteins. In Bacillus subtilis, the riboswitch most likely controls gene expression by causing premature transcription termination within the 5' untranslated region of the ribDEAHT operon and precluding access to the ribosome-binding site of ypaA mRNA. The record is from Rfam. NCBI's taxonomy places the organism in Bacteria, Bacillati, Actinomycetota, Actinomycetes, Actinomycetales, Actinomycetaceae.